UACAUUUUAAUAUAUGAAGUAUAUAAAUUUUUGAUAUUUAAAGAAAUAAUUUAAUUUUAUUAAAUGUAU
RNAcentral lists this transfer RNA (69 nucleotides) under Cucujoidea sp. 22 KM-2017. RNAcentral describes it as "tRNA-Gln". The record is from RNAcentral. Lineage: Eukaryota; Metazoa; Arthropoda; Insecta; Coleoptera.